GAUCAUGCUCAGGAUGAACGCUGGCGGCGUGCCUAACACAUGCAAGUCGAGCGAAGCGGUUUUAAGGAAGUUUUCGGAUGGAAUUAAAACUGACUGAGCGGCGGACGGGUGAGUAACGCGUGGGUAACCUGCCUCAUACAGGGGGAUAACAGUUAGAAAUGGCUGCUAAUACCGCAUAAGCACACAGCUUCGCAUGGAGCAGUGUGAAAAACUCCGGUGGUAUGAGAUGGACCCGCG
RNAcentral lists this ribosomal RNA (237 nucleotides) under uncultured bacterium. RNAcentral's name for it is "partial 16S ribosomal RNA". It matches the Rfam family "Bacterial small subunit ribosomal RNA", at positions 15 to 235 of the family's 1533-position model. The record is from RNAcentral.